RNAcentral lists this ribosomal RNA (235 nucleotides) under uncultured bacterium. RNAcentral's name for it is "partial 16S ribosomal RNA". It matches the Rfam family "Bacterial small subunit ribosomal RNA", at positions 116 to 334 of the family's 1533-position model. The record is from RNAcentral.
CGUGGAUAAUCUUCCCCUCGGGCGGGGGAUAACAUUCCGAAAGGAGUGCUAAUACCGCAUAAGACCACGAGCUCGAAAGGGCUUGAGGUAAAAGCUGGCCUCUAUACAUAAGCUUGCACCUUUGGACGGGCCCGCGGCCCAUCAGCUAGUUGGUAGGGUAAUGGCCUACCAAGGCUAAGACGGGUAACUGGUCUGAGAGGAUGAUCAGUCACACUGGGACUGAGACACGGCCCAG